RNAcentral lists this ribosomal RNA (460 nucleotides) under uncultured bacterium. Its description in RNAcentral is "partial 16S ribosomal RNA". It matches the Rfam family "Bacterial small subunit ribosomal RNA", at positions 338 to 795 of the family's 1533-position model. The record is from RNAcentral.
CCUACGGGAGGCAGCAGUGAGGAAUAUUGGUCACUGGACGCAAGUCUGAACCAGCCAUGCCGCAUGCAGGAAGACGGCUCUAUGAGUUGUAAACUGCUUUUGUACGAGGGUAAACGCAGAUACGCUUCUCUGUCUGAAAGUAUCGUACGAAUAAGGAUCGGCUAACUCCGUGCCAGCAGCCGCGGUAAUACGGAGUAAUCAAGCGUUAUCCGGAUUUAUUGGGUUUAAAGGGUGCGUAGGCGGUCGGAUAAGUUAGAGGUGAAAUCCCGAGGCUCAACUUCGGAAUUGCCUCUGAUACUGUUCGGCGAGAGAGUAGUUGCGGUAGGCGGAAUGUAUGGUGUAGCGGUGAAAUGCUUAGAGAUCAUACAGAACACCGAUUGCGAAGGCAGCUUACCAAGCUACUUCUGACGUUGAGGCACGAAAGCGUGGGGAGCAAACAGGAUUAGAUACCCUUGUAGUC